UGAAUCCCGCCUUGGUAACUGCUAGCCACAGGCCAAGUAUCUAGCCUUGCAGACAAUCCAGCAAUGGGCUGUUUGAUGCGUAGGCAAGAAAGCAGGCGAGGCGCAAUGGUAACGGAUAAAGCCGACCGUGAAGGUUGAAGUCCCGGAAUGACCGCAUUGGAAGUGGCCGAUGGUUUCUGUACACCAGCAGGCAAUAGCAGACACGGCGUGGAGUAGAAAGGGCAAGGUGACGUGGUCAAGUAAAA
RNAcentral lists this non-coding RNA (245 nucleotides) under Nitrosomonas nitrosa. The record is from RNAcentral. Lineage: Bacteria; Pseudomonadati; Pseudomonadota; Betaproteobacteria; Nitrosomonadales; Nitrosomonadaceae.